CCUACGGGAGGCUGCAGUGAGGAAUAUUGGUCAAUGGGCGCGAGCCUGAACCAGCCAAGUCGCGUGAGGGAGGACGGCCCUACGGGUUGUAAACCUCUUUUGCCGGGGAGCAACGGGCGUCACGUGUGGCGCCACUGAUUGUACCCGGAGAAAAAGCAUCGGCUAACUCCGUGCCAGCAGCCGCGGUAAUAGGGAGGAUGCGAGCGGUAUCCGGUUUUUUUGGGUUUAAAGGGGGCGUAGGCGGAUCGUUUAGUAAGUGGGAAAAUUGAGGGGUUCAACCCCUUCCCGCCAUUGAAACUGGAGUUCUUGAGUGGAAGAGGGGUAGGCGGAAUGCGUGGUGUAGCGGUGAAAUGCAUAGAGAUCACGAAGAACCCCGAUUGCGAAGGCAGGAUGCCGGCUUCCGACUGACGCUGAAGCACGAAAGCGUGGGGAUCGAACAGGAUUAGAUACCCGAGUAGUC
This 460-nucleotide ribosomal RNA is filed under the name uncultured bacterium. RNAcentral describes it as "partial 16S ribosomal RNA". It matches the Rfam family "Bacterial small subunit ribosomal RNA", at positions 338 to 795 of the family's 1533-position model. The record is from RNAcentral.